RNAcentral lists this ribosomal RNA (253 nucleotides) under uncultured bacterium. RNAcentral's name for it is "partial 16S ribosomal RNA". It matches the Rfam family "Bacterial small subunit ribosomal RNA", at positions 524 to 776 of the family's 1533-position model. The record is from RNAcentral. RNAcentral also lists the same sequence under 1 other name.
UACGAAGGGGGCGAGCGUUGUUCGGAAUUACUGGGCGUAAAGGGCGCGUAGGCGGCGACUCAAGUUAGAUGUGAAAGUCCUGGGCUUAACCUGGGGACUGCAUUUGAUACUGGGUUGCUUGAAUUCGGGAGAGGAUAGCGGAAUUCCCAGUGUAGAGGUGAAAUUCGUAGAUAUUGGGAAGAACACCGGUGGCGAAGGCGGCUAUCUGGACCGACAUUGACGCUGAGGCGCGAAAGCGUGGGGAGCAAACAGG